This 857-nucleotide ribosomal RNA is filed under the name uncultured Clostridia bacterium. RNAcentral's name for it is "bacterial SSU rRNA". It matches the Rfam family "Bacterial small subunit ribosomal RNA", at positions 28 to 896 of the family's 1533-position model. The record is from RNAcentral. Lineage: Bacteria; Bacillati; Bacillota; Clostridia.
GAUGAACGCUGGCGGCGUGCCUAACCCUUGCAAGUCGAGCGCGUCUGAUUUGAUGCUUGCAUUACUUAAAGAUGAGCGGCGGACGGGUGAGUAACGCGUGGGUAACCUGCCCUAUACACAUGGAUAACAUACUGAAAAGUUUACUAAUACAUGAUAAUAUAUAUUUACGGCAUCGUAGAUAUAUCAAAGUGUUAGCGGUAUAGGAUGGACCCGCGUCUGAUUAGCUAGUUGGUGAGAUAACUGCCCACCAAGGCGACGAUCAGUAGCCGACCUGAGAGGGUGAUCGGCCACAUUGGAACUGAGACACGGUCCAAACUCCUACGGGAGGCAGCAGUGGGGAAUAUUGCACAAUGGGCGCAAGCCUGAUGCAGCAACGCCGCGUGAACGAUGAAGGUCUUCGGAUCGUAAAGUUCUGUUGCAGGGGAAGAUAAUGACGGUACCCUGUGAGGAAGCCCCGGCUAACUACGUGCCAGCAGCCGCGGUAAUACGUAGGGGGCUAGCGUUAUCCGGAUUUACUGGGCGUAAAGGGUGCGUAGGUGGUCUUUCAAGUCGGUGGUUAAAGACUACGGCUCAACCGUAGUUAGCCUCCGAAACUGGAAGACUUGAGUGCAGGAGAGGAAAGUGGAAUUCCCAGUGUAGCGGUGAAAUGCGUAGAUAUUGGGAGGAACACCAGUAGCGAAGGCGGCUUUCUGGACUGCAACUGACACUGAGGCACGAAAGCGUGGGUAGCAAACAGGAUUAGAUACCCUGGUAGUCCACGCUGUAAACGAUGAGUACUAGGUGUCGGGGGUUUACCCCCCUCGGUGCCGCAGCUAACGCAUUAAGUACUCCGCCUGGGGAGUACGCACGCAAGUGUG